AUACGGAGGAUCCGAGCGUUAUCCGGAUUUAUUGGGUUUAAAGGGUGCGCAGGCGGGAGAUUAAGUCGGCGGUGAAAUUUUGCAGCUCAACUGUAAAAGUGCCUUCGAAACUGGUUUCCUUGAGUGUAGAUGAAGUAGGCGGAAUUUGUGGUGUAGCGGUGAAAUGCAUAGAUAUCACGAGGAACUCCGAUUGCGCAGGCAGCUUACUAAACUACUACUGACGCUCAGGCACGAAGGCGUGGGGAUCAAACAGGAUUAGAUACCCUGGUAGUCCACGCGGUAAACGAUGAUUACUAGCUGUUUGCGAUACAAUGUAAGCGGCUGAGCGAAAGCGUUAAGUAAUCCACCUGGGGAGUACGUUCGCAAGAAUGAAACUUAAAGGAAUUGACGGGG
Molecule: ribosomal RNA, 393 nt
Filed under: uncultured bacterium
Lineage: Bacteria
Description: partial 16S ribosomal RNA
Rfam family: Bacterial small subunit ribosomal RNA
Source: RNAcentral